UCCUGGGAACAUCCAAAAUGGACCAAAAGGAUGCUUUUCCCAGUCACGUGACGUGGAUCAGCGCUUCUUCUUCUCUCCCCUCUCGAUCUUCGCCUUCUCCCAAAAGAGAGUCGGAAAUAUUAAGGUCAGCUACAUUGUCGUGGCUGCAGCUAAAGGACCCCCAGAACUCUACGGACCGACGCUGAACGUCACGGUUGCCUAGAGACGGACACUACGCAGCCGCGAUAAAUGACGGAGUUUCAAAGAAACUGUCGACUUCUUCAUAAGGACCUGGGGUGAAAACCGACCCACAGUUUGCAGCCAUUUUCAGAUCCUUUCUUCCUCUACUUCAUGACCGCCUCUUCUUCCGCUCCUGUGGCUCUGCGGUCGUUGCCACGGCGAUCCUGGGCUCUCUGCCCCAUCAUGCUGUGGGUCUGUUUCAUUAUGAAGGAUUAUUUUAAAAAUCUUCACCUCGACAUCUAGAAGGUUCUACAAAUUUAAAAGAUUCAAUAAUAAAUCAAUUAAGUGGGUGGAAUCAUGAUGCUCUGUGUGUGUGCAGGCGUGGGUGGGUGUGUGUGUGAGAGAGAGGAUUAGCUUGACUGGUGUGUCGAUGUGAGCUGAAGGAGUCAUCCUCAUGUAUUGUAAGAUAAUAUUCAUCAUUUAUUAUUCAUAAAUCAAAUUUUUUUGCAUCACCGUUGAAUUAAAUUUAGCGGGGGUUUUUAAUCCUACUAAACCACUUUAUAAAUUAUAUACUUUUAAAAUAAUUUUUCAUAUUUCUCAAGGUUGUUUCCUCUUUAGAAUAAUGAUGGGAUUUUAAUCACAUUUCUCUUUCGGAUUAAACAACUGUUAAAUAAUGAAAAACAGUACAUACACACACAUAGGAAAUGAAAUGUAAAAUUAAUUUAGAAUAUUUUAAAAUUUCCAGUUUGUUUCUCAACAUUUAUCUCCAGCUGACCUUUUCGUCUUCUUGCUAUCAGCUGAUUAUUAUAUAUUUCAUUUUAUCAAACCCUACCGAUCGGUUUGGAGUGUAAUCAUAAUUCAUAAUUCCCCACCACAGAUUUCAGUCUUAAUCCUCGUCCAAUCUCUGCAGAUAUUCACAAACUGAUGCUGAUUAUUGGAUGUUUAAAUAAUAAUAAUAAUUUCCCAACAUUUUAACUUAUAACUCUGACCCGACUUGUUUCUGUUUAUAAAGAACUGAUGGAUUAAUUGAUUUCAUUGGUACAAUGGUAUUUAUAUCUAUUCAAUAACUUAUCGAUUGGUUUGGUUUCAGAUCAAAUCCAUUUGGCUACUUAGUCCAGACUUUUUUUUCUUAACUUUAGGAUGAAAUUUAAACGAUAAAACCUUAAAAAACAGACAAAAAAUGAGCGCUCCUGUAGUUACUGAGUGAGAGAAUCUAAAAAUCAAAAACUCCAUCGUUUAUUUUAAUAAAGUCUGAUUGUGACGCCUUUAUUUCACUGCUGGUUUUGGUGCUGAACAAACAGAAUAAAAGUAUCAAAAAUCUACAAACGGCAUUUAUUAUGGGAUAAAUUAAUACUAAUCUAACAGUUACAGAUUUUAACAAAAUGCAGAUUUAACUUUUCGAAAAGUCUCCUUCAGGUUCUCCAUUCUGAGAAAAAUAUUUGAAAAAGUUUGGAAUUGUUAAAUAUAACGCAGCUAAAACUGAACAAAAUAGAUAUUGAGCUUUAAUAAAUUUCGUUUUACGACUUUAAGUCCCUUUUUAUAUAAAUUAAAGCAGAAUUUAAACUUUCAUCAGAGCAAAUGCAGGUCACUAAUAAUUCUAGUUAACGAUGUGAGUCAUAUUUUCAUGUUGCUUCAUGUUACAUUGUGCUGUUACACAGUGGCGCAAAAGGUGGCUAUGCAGUGUAUGCAACGCAUAGGGGCGCUGCACUAGAGGGGGCGCAAAAACGAUGUGGGGAAUAUUUUUUAUA
Molecule: long non-coding RNA, 1907 nt
Organism: Xiphophorus hellerii (green swordtail)
Lineage: Eukaryota; Metazoa; Chordata; Actinopteri; Cyprinodontiformes; Poeciliidae
Exons: 4
Source: RefSeq, a predicted model, not a curated record